CACAAACCCCAGAUCUGUACCUCC
RNAcentral lists this non-coding RNA (24 nucleotides) under Arabidopsis thaliana (thale cress). The record is from RNAcentral. Lineage: Eukaryota; Viridiplantae; Streptophyta; Magnoliopsida; Brassicales; Brassicaceae.